GGGUUGUGAGGUUAAGCGACUAAGCGUACACGGUGGAUGCCCUGGCAGUCAGAGGCGAUGAAGGACGUGCUAAUCUGCGAUAAGCGUCGGUAAGGUGAUAUGAACCGUUAUAACCGGCGAUUUCCGAAUGGGGAAACCCAGUGUGAUUCGACACACUAUCAUUAACUGAAUCCAUAGGUUAAUGAGGCGAACCGGGGGAACUGAAACAUCUAAGUACCCCGAGGAAAAGAAAUCAACCGAGAUUCCCCCAGUAGCGGCGAGCGAACGGGGAGCAGCCCAGAGCCUGAAUCAGUGUGUGUGUUAGUGGAAGCGUCUGGAAAGGCGCGCGAUACAGGGUGACAGCCCCGUACACAAAAAUGCACAUGCUGUGAGCUCGAUGAGUAGGGCGGGACACGUGGUAUCCUGUCUGAAUAUGGGGGACCAUCCUCCAAGGCUAAAUACUCCUGACUGACCGAUAGUGAACCAGUACCGUGAGGGAAAGGCGAAAAGAACCCCGGCGAGGGGAGUGAAAAAGAACCUGAAACCGUGUACGUACAAGCAGUGGGAGCACGCUUAGGCGUGUGACUGCGUACCUUUUGUAUAAUGGGUCAGCGACUUAUAUUCUGUAGCAAGGUUAACCGAAUAGGGGAGCCGAAGGGAAACCGAGUCUUAACUGGGCGUUAAGUUGCAGGGUAUAGACCCGAAACCCGGUGAUCUAGCCAUGGGCAGGUUGAAGGUUGGGUAACACUAACUGGAGGACCGAACCGACUAAUGUUGAAAAAUUAGCGGAUGACUUGUGGCUGGGGGUGAAAGGCCAAUCAAACCGGGAGAUAGCUGGUUCUCCCCGAAAGCUAUUUAGGUAGCGCCUCGUGAAUUCAUCUCCGGGGGUAGAGCACUGUUUCGGCAAGGGGGUCAUCCCGACUUACCAACCCGAUGCAAACUGCGAAUACCGGAGAAUGUUAUCACGGGAGACACACGGCGGGUGCUAACGUCCGUCGUGAAGAGGGAAACAACCCAGACCGCCAGCUAAGGUCCCAAAGUCAUGGUUAAGUGGGAAACGAUGUGGGAAGGCCCAGACAGCCAGGAUGUUGGCUUAGAAGCAGCCAUCAUUUAAAGAAAGCGUAAUAGCUCACUGGUCGAGUCGGCCUGCGCGGAAGAUGUAACGGGGCUAAACCAUGCACCGAAGCUGCGGCAGCGACGCUGAUGCGUUGUUGGGUAGGGGAGCGUUCUGUAAGCCUGCGAAGGUGUGCUGUGAGGCAUGCUGGAGGUAUCAGAAGUGCGAAUGCUGACAUAAGUAACGAUAAAGCGGGUGAAAAGCCCGCUCGCCGGAAGACCAAGGGUUCCUGUCCAACGUUAAUCGGGGCAGGGUGAGUCGACCCCUAAGGCGAGGCCGAAAGGCGUAGUCGAUGGGAAACAGGUUAAUAUUCCUGUACUUGGUGUUACUGCGAAGGGGGACGGAGAAGGCUAUGUUGGCCGGGCGACGGUUGUCCCGGUUUAAGCGUGUAGGCUGGUUUUCCAGGCAAAUCCGGAAAAUCAAGGCUGAGGCGUGAUGACGAGGCACUACGGUGCUGAAGCAACAAAUGCCCUGCUUCCAGGAAAAGCCUCUAAGCAUCAGGUAACAUCAAAUCGUACCCCAAACCGACACAGGUGGUCAGGUAGAGAAUACCAAGGCGCUUGAGAGAACUCGGGUGAAGGAACUAGGCAAAAUGGUGCCGUAACUUCGGGAGAAGGCACGCUGAUAUGUAGGUGAAGUCCCUCGCGGAUGGAGCUGAAAUCAGUCGAAGAUACCAGCUGGCUGCAACUGUUUAUUAAAAACACAGCACUGUGCAAACACGAAAGUGGACGUAUACGGUGUGACGCCUGCCCGGUGCCGGAAGGUUAAUUGAUGGGGUUAGCGCAAGCGAAGCUCUUGAUCGAAGCCCCGGUAAACGGCGGCCGUAACUAUAACGGUCCUAAGGUAGCGAAAUUCCUUGUCGGGUAAGUUCCGACCUGCACGAAUGGCGUAAUGAUGGCCAGGCUGUCUCCACCCGAGACUCAGUGAAAUUGAACUCGCUGUGAAGAUGCAGUGUACCCGCGGCAAGACGGAAAGACCCCGUGAACCUUUACUAUAGCUUGACACUGAACAUUGAGCCUUGAUGUGUAGGAUAGGUGGGAGGCUUUGAAGUGUGGACGCCAGUCUGCAUGGAGCCGACCUUGAAAUACCACCCUUUAAUGUUUGAUGUUCUAACGUUGACCCGUAAUCCGGGUUGCGGACAGUGUCUGGUGGGUAGUUUGACUGGGGCGGUCUCCUCCUAAAGAGUAACGGAGGAGCACGAAGGUUGGCUAAUCCUGGUCGGACAUCAGGAGGUUAGUGCAAUGGCAUAAGCCAGCUUGACUGCGAGCGUGACGGCGCGAGCAGGUGCGAAAGCAGGUCAUAGUGAUCCGGUGGUUCUGAAUGGAAGGGCCAUCGCUCAACGGAUAAAAGGUACUCCGGGGAUAACAGGCUGAUACCGCCCAAGAGUUCAUAUCGACGGCGGUGUUUGGCACCUCGAUGUCGGCUCAUCACAUCCUGGGGCUGAAGUAGGUCCCAAGGGUAUGGCUGUUCGCCAUUUAAAGUGGUACGCGAGCUGGGUUUAGAACGUCGUGAGACAGUUCGGUCCCUAUCUGCCGUGGGCGCUGGAGAACUGAGGGGGGCUGCUCCUAGUACGAGAGGACCGGAGUGGACGCAUCACUGGUGUUCGGGUUGUCAUGCCAAUGGCACUGCCCGGUAGCUAAAUGCGGAAGAGAUAAGUGCUGAAAGCAUCUAAGCACGAAACUUGCCCCGAGAUGAGUUCUCCCUGACUCCUUGAGAGUCCUGAAGGAACGUUGAAGACGACGACGUUGAUAGGCCGGGUGUGUAAGCGCAGCGAUGCGUUGAGCUAACCGGUACUAAUGAACCGUGAGGCUUAACCUUACAACGCCGAAGCUGUU
Molecule: ribosomal RNA, 2928 nt
Filed under: Escherichia coli O104:H4
Lineage: Bacteria; Pseudomonadati; Pseudomonadota; Gammaproteobacteria; Enterobacterales; Enterobacteriaceae
Description: bacterial LSU rRNA
Rfam family: Bacterial large subunit ribosomal RNA
Source: RNAcentral